Molecule: ribosomal RNA, 370 nt
Filed under: uncultured organism
Description: partial 16S ribosomal RNA
Rfam family: Bacterial small subunit ribosomal RNA
Source: RNAcentral
GGAGGGUGCGAGCGUUAAUCGGAAUUACUGGGCGUAAAGGGUGCGCAGGUGGUUGAUUAAGUUAUCUGUUAAAUGACUGGGCUUAACCUGGUGAUGCAGGUGAUACUGAUUGACUUGAGUAUGGGAGAGGGUAGUGGAAUUUCCGGUGUAGCGGUGAAAUGCGUAGAUAUCGGAAGGAACACCGGUGGCGAAGGCGGCUACCUGGCCUAUAACUGACACUGAGGCACGAAAGCGUGGGGAGCAAACAGGAUUAGAUACCCUGGUAGUCCACGCUGUAAACGAUGUCAACUAGCCGUUGGUCACAUAGAAGUGAUUAGUGGCGUAGCAAACGCGAUAAGUUGACCGCCUGGGGAGUACGGUCGCAAGAUUA